GAUGAACGCUGGCGGCGUGCUUAACACAUGCAAGUCGAACGGUGAAGGCGGAGCUUGCUCUGCUGGAUCAGUGGCGAACGGGUGAGUAACACGUGAGCAAUCUGCCCCUGACUCUGGGAUAAGCGCUGGAAACGGCGUCUAAUACUGGAUACGAGCUGCGAAGGCAUCUUCAGCAGCUGGAAAGAAUUUCGGUCAGGGAUGAGCUCGCGGCCUAUCAGCUUGUUGGUGAGGUAAUGGCUCACCAAGGCGUCGACGGGUAGCCGGCCUGAGGGGGUGACCGGCCCCACUGGGACUGGGACCCGGCCCAGACCCCUCCGGGGGGGAGCGGGGGGGAAUUUUGCACAAGGGGGGAAAGCCUGAUGCAGCAACCCCGGGGGGGGGACGACGGCCUUGGGGUUGGAAACCCCUUUUAGCGGGGAAGAAGCGAAAGGGGCGGUACCUGCAAAAAAAGCCCCGGCUACCUACGU
This 467-nucleotide ribosomal RNA is filed under the name uncultured bacterium. Its description in RNAcentral is "partial 16S ribosomal RNA". It matches the Rfam family "Bacterial small subunit ribosomal RNA", at positions 28 to 506 of the family's 1533-position model. The record is from RNAcentral.